RNAcentral lists this ribosomal RNA (404 nucleotides) under Actinomycetes bacterium. RNAcentral's name for it is "Actinobacteria bacterium partial 16S ribosomal RNA". It matches the Rfam family "Bacterial small subunit ribosomal RNA", at positions 355 to 776 of the family's 1533-position model. The record is from RNAcentral. Lineage: Bacteria; Bacillati; Actinomycetota; Actinomycetes.
UGGGGAAUAUUGGACAAUGGGCGCAAGCCUGAUCCAGCCAUGCCGCGUGAGUGAUGAAGGCCCUAGGGUUGUAAAGCUCUUUCACCGGUGAAGAUAAUGACGGUAACCGGAGAAGAAGCCCCGGCUAACUUCGUGCCAGCAGCCGCGGUAAUACGAAGGGGGCUAGCGUUGUUCGGAUUUACUGGGCGUAAAGCGCACGUAGGCGGACUUUUAAGUCAGGGGUGAAAUCCCGGGGCUCAACCCCGGAACUGCCUUUGAUACUGGAAGUCUUGAGUAUGGUAGGGGUGAGUGGAAUUCCGAGGGUAGAGGUGAAAUUCGUAGAUAUUCGGAGGAACACCAGUGGCGAAGGCGGCUCACUGGACCAUUACUGACGCUGAGGUGCGAAAGCGUGGGGAGCAAACAGG